GGUGAUGUGUCUUUGAUGUAGGAAAGACACACUCAAGUAUGCAGGAGAGAUGGGACAUCAGAGUUACAAGUAACUUGCUGAGGAUUCGGGGGGGGGGCGGUGUGAAAAAAAGGAAUUCUUUGUACCACUCUUGUAACUUCGGUCUAAGUCUCAAAUUAGUUCAAAAAGAGAGGACUUGGCAGGGAAGACAAUAGCUAAGCAUGUAAAUAAUUUACAAGGAAGGAGGAGAACAGAUUUCUGCAAAUAGAACCCCAGAAAACUCUUUUUUGUGGUGCCUCUGUUACACUUCGAUUGUCUGCUAUUCCAGGCACUGUAUACCAUUACCCAUCUCUCCUGCCUGGUUUAAGGGCUGACCCUAUGAAGCCACAAUUAUCUGGUCAAUGAGCCUCUGAGUUUCAUUUCCUGGGAAAGAUGGGCAGCAGUACCAGUUCAUAAUUCACUUAAAGCUGUUAUGGUGCACGGAAAAUUAAAAAGAUGACCGAAGAGGUUGCCUGCUUGCUUAGAGAAGUCUCUCAAAUUUGGACAUCAAAGACAUACCUCCCCAGUGAAAUUCCUAUACUAAAAUUUUAAAAAGGGCGGCUUUUACAUUUUAAAACACCACUGAUUUCACAGAAGCAUUGAGUGACCUCCUAUAGGUUAAUUUGGUAAAAGAGGAAGACAUCACAGGCAUCCCUUGCUGGGUAGCCACCACAGAAUGCACAUCUUAGACGCCCCCACACACCGAGCCCCAGUAGUCAAUUUCCAAAAAACUCUAUUUUCCACCAGCCCCUAAAAUUGUUCCAGCAACACGGGUUCCCAGCAUCGGUUCAUUUUGGAGCCUGAUGGAGUAACCACUCCCAAAGCCUUUCGGGGCUCCACAAAAGCCUGCCGUGAGUAAGCUGCGCUCUGUUUCUCAUUUGCAACUUUUCCUCAUUUGCAGAAGGAAGCCUGAAUGAACCUUCAGUUCUACUUGUUCCAGCCAGGCUGGAAACUGCAGUCACUGCGCUGACCUCAGAGAACCAAGCAGAGUACAUAUAACCAUUGUCCAGGGGAACAGCUAAGACUCUGUGCUCAAGGAAAGGGAAGCCAGUGGCUCAAAAACAAUUGCUUCCUUCUACAAAGACUGUACCAAGCAGCCAUCCGGGCUGCCCUCCACUGCUCACAGGCCUGCCCAGGCAAAGGCUCUGCAGCCGAAUCACAAGUUAAGAUCUUGUUGGGUUUGCUGGAAGCCCACUGAUGUCACAAGCACCGAGUCCCUUCCAGCCCCUGUGCUGUCAUUGCUCCCCAAGCUGCUGGGGCGGGGGACAGGGAGUUUCUGCCCCAAGGUUUCUUCAGCUGUUUUGCCUCGGCCUCAAGUAUUGGGUAACAGCAACAACAACAAAAAAAAGUAACUGAGACCACCUAUGGUGGGGCACACCUAUAACCCCUGAGAUAGAGGUAGGUGGAUGGAUUUCUGUGAGUUCAAAGUCAGCCUGGUCUACAGGGUGAGUUCCAGGACAGCCGGGGCAACAUAGUGUCUAGUUAAAAAAGUGACUAAUACAUUGGCUUAGUCACUGAUUUAGCUUCAAAAUUACUCCCUAAUCAAGAUUUCUCAGCCUCCCCGAAGAAAGCCCCCACAAAUCUGUGUACUCUAACAGUCAAGAAAUCUCCAUGAUCAAAACCAAUUCUGUCAUAGCGUAUGGCAAAAGCCAAAGGUUAAUAAAUAUUUUUAAAUAAAUAACAAGGAACUUAUUACAGUUGCCCCCUUAUCCAUUGUUUCCGUGGUUUUUACUAAAGGUCACACACUGUCUGAAAAUAUUAUUGGAAGUUCCAAAAAAAAAUUCAUACAUUUAAAGUAACUUAUUAUGCUAUAUGGUUAGAAUUGUUAUAUUUUAUUAUUAAUGUUGGGGUUUUUAUUGUUUGUGUGUAUGUGUGUGUAUCUUUGGGGAGGGUGGGGGUGCAGGUAACUUGCAAAAGCCAGGUGGCUGUAAGAUGUUGGAACCAAACUAGGGUCUUCUGGAAGAUCAGCAAGCACACUUAACUUCUGAGCCAUCUCUCUAGCAAUAGCUCUUAAUACCCUCUGGUAUCCUACUGUGCUGAAUUCAUAAUUAACUUCAGAGGUAUGCAUGCACAGGAAAAACAUAUGUGUGUGUGUGUAUAUAAGUAUAUGUAUAUGUAUAUGUACAUGUAUAUGUAUCAGCAGUUGCAAAGUAUCCCCAGUGAGUAUGUGAGGACUAUGACAUUAAUGUCAAGCAUCAUGGUGAACAAAGGGAAAUUCAUAGGCAAUAAAAUAUCUUUUAUCUAUCUACCUACAUGUGCUAUAGAAAAUUCUGCUGAAGAAGGCAGUAGGGAAUAUAUUUUUAAUUCCAUCUUAUAAAUAAUGUUAUAUUAUUUAGACUUACAAGAUAUCAGGAUCUUGCCUGUUUUAAAUUCCAUAUGUAGGAAUUCACCAAGAAUUUAAGCCUUCUUACCAGCAGUGCUUAUAACUAACAAUUCAUGAUGAUGAGCAUGAUGACCAUGUAAUUUAUUAACAAGGAUGGGACAGUUUUGAGUAUGGAUCCAGCACUGGUGGUACAGAUCAGUGGUUACCCUGGAAACAGAUAUUAAGAGGGACUAUCCUUGAGAGAAUCAAAAGUGGGGCCAGUGUUUGCCACAUAGGUGAGACUUUGUCUAAGAAAAAAAGAUGGGGCCAUUCUUGGAAACCCAGAAUAGGAGGGUCCUCUGUAAAAACUCCUGUGCUGGAACAAGCUUUGAUUCAAGAUCUGUGGGCUGGGAAUAUUUCAGAAUUCCAAUGGUUUGGAUUUAGAAAGAUGGUAAGGUACACAGACCAUGUGGAACACAGGACCCUCAGCUGUGUCUAGGACAGACCCUCAUAAUCCAGCACAAUAAUAUUCAGCAGCAAAGUUACACAUCUGCACUGACUAGGGCAAAAGAAAGCUAUGGUUAGCUUUAUGCCAACACAGGGCAGAUUGUACCGCCAGAAGAGUCGUGAUAGCAACUUCCAGGCUUCUGUACCCUUUGAAUUACAAAUAAGGACAGUGAAUCUCAAGUAAUUUCCAUCCUUGGGAAUAUAUAUAUAUAUAUAUAUAUAUAUAUAUGUAUAUAUAUAUGUAUACUAUAUAUACAUAUAUAUUAAAAUAUACUAGGCUUAAUUUAAUGAAUAAUUGCAUUUUUAAUUCUAAUAUACAAGAACUUAAUGCAAACUCUGUCCCUAUUAGAAAGUAGGAAAAUCUGUUUCCUGAAUAUUUUUACAAAAUUGAAUCAGAAGUAACCAUUUAAAUGAUCACUUCCUUUGAACAAGGUUUUCCUAGUCAUGUGAAUAAAAGUACCCUCUUUUAUUAACCUAAUGCAUGAAAUGUUUGUUUAUAAAAUAAGAAUUAAACAAGCUUCAAAAAUGUCCUAAAGCUUCUUUAUAAUGACAUUUGCUGUGCCCUUGUUUGUUCUCCUGUGAGCUUUAAUACGUAUUUGGGGCCAGCAAGAUGGCUCGGCAAGUUAAGGCACUCACUGCCAAGGCUAACGGGCCAAGUUUAAUUCCUAUAACCCACAUUGUGAGGGAGAGAACAGUCUCUGGAAAGCCGUGCUCUGAUCUCCACACUCACACCAGGGCACACUGUCUUAGUUGGUGUUCUACUGCUGUGAAGAGACACCGUGACCACAGCAACUCUUAUAAAACUAAUAUUUAAUUGAGGCUGGCUUACAGUUCAGAGGUUUAGUUCAUUAUCCUAAGGCAGGAAGCCUGGCACUGUUCAGGCAGACAUGGUGCUGGGGGAGCUGAAAGUUCUGCGUCUUGAUCCAAAGAAAGCCAGGAGGAGACUGGAUUCCACAUUGGGUGGAGUUUGAGCAUAAGAGCCUGCCCCCACAGUGACACAUUUGAUCCAACAAAUCCACACCUCCUAAUAGCGCUACUCCCCCUGGGCCAAGCAUUCAAAGAUGUGAGUCUAUGGGGAUCAUGCUUAUUCAAACCACCACACAUACACACACACACACACACACACACACACACACACACACAGACACACACACGCUCACACACACUCACACACACAGACAUGCACACAACAAGCAAAUAAGUAAGUAUAAAUGUUUUAUUCCAAAAGUUAUUCUAAAGGCAAUUUAUUAUAUAUUGGGUGCUAUGUCUGACGAAUUAGAUUGAGUUUAUUGUUUGUUUCUGUAUUUAUUGGGACAAGGUCCAUAUCCAUAUGCAAACUGGGAUCUGUGCUUCUGCUGGGAUAAGCCUCACCCCUAUGAUAAAACUAAACAUGGGUAAUGGGAUGGGUAAGAUUUAAAGCAUUUCUUAAAAUUCCUGGAAAGCCUACUGGCCAUAUGACUUUUCUCACUCAAUUCUGAUUGAAAGGAAAAGGACGUCGCAGUGAUGUGAGGACUGGAGACCUCAAAAGCACUUGUGUUGUGUGGCAGGCCUGAGCACACACCACUAAGGACGGAACAAAAACAGUAACACUGAAGAGAGUGGAGGGGAAGGGUCCCCAAGACUCCUUCUGAACAGGCCCAACACUUAAUUAUGCCUAAAUUGAACUGCAUAUAUGUAUAUAAAAAAGUUUAAAACUUUCUUCAAAAACAUGCUUUCCACAUUCCUCAGGUGACCGUGGGCCAGGGGAUGGUCAUGACAGCAGUGACCAGAGACUGCAUAUCUGCCAUUCAACUCAGCAUGGUUUCUCACUGAUGUCACCCUGUGAGGUCCCUACCAUUGCCACCUUGAUUCACAGAAGAUUCUGACUGUGCCUCAGUCUGUGUCACACCAGAUGCUCAAACACCUGAGUUCCAUUAGCAUAGUUGCUGGGUAACCAAAACUGAUCUUCAGCCUUCAGAGGUAGCAUUGCUAACAGGAAAUCCCCAGGGGACAAACUUUCACUACUUGUGCCCUUUGGGCCCUCAAACAUAAAGGUUGGGUUAGGGAGCUCUCUGGCAAUGCUCUCCCUGGGUCUGGUACCUGAACUCUAUCAUCUUCCCGAGCCCAUGUGUCACACAGAAGGAAUGCCACAUUGUUCAUUGGGUGCAACACAUUCGCUUUGUUUAGCUUGAAGGAAGGACAAUGAAAACUGCAAUCACCCACAAACACAGAUAGAACGAGAAGAUAGGCGAGCUGUCUGGGACUUUUUCUAAAAGAGGAAGUCUUGUAACCUCACAUAACCCCAGGGUUGUGCAGAUAAAAACAAACUUUUGUUUUCCAAUCCAUAACAACGAAUCCAGCAGCAAAGGGAGCUUGGCUUUAAAGCCUGAAUCCCACCGUGCCCUCUGCAGUGUCCAUCUAGAAAACAGGGUGAGCCAGGAGGUGAGCCAAGAGGGACCCAACACUCAUCCUGUCCAUUUGAGCUUCCAGGGUGAAGCAGGCAAGACCUGGAAGGAAGCCAUAGCACUGUCCCCUGCCUUUUGUGUCCUGGUGGCUGGCAGAAAAGAGGGAGUUUUGAAACACUGACCAGGGACUUGCUCUUCAAAGUGAUUUUCCACUCUUUCCAAAAGAUCGCUUUCCAAGUUAUAAUUUCCCUACAACCAGAGGUUUGCUGAAUUUUUUCGUUUUGGUUUUGGUUUUGGUUUGCUUUGUUUUGUUUGCAAUGUAUUUUUCCGUGUGUGUGUGUGUGUGUGUGUGUGUGUGUGUGUGUGUGUGUGUGUGUUUGUUUGUACGCACACACAUGCAUGUGCACACAUUGGAAAACACACAAGAGGAUACCUGGGCUUGCUGGCUACUUAGUCUAGCCUAAUGAAGGAGCCAGCCAAUGAGAGACCCUGUCUCAAAAUCCAAAUUCUUUCCCAGUCAGGGAAGCCUCUUUUCUGGGGUAAGGGUUCCGAGAUUAAGGACACCUCUGAACUUAGAUUUGGUUCUUAGAACCCAUGUGGCAAGUCACAACUGUCUAUAACUCUAAUUCUAGGUUAUCCGGUGCCACCUCUGAUCUCCAUGGGCACUGUGCACACAUGGUUCCCAUGCAUGCACACAGUCAAACACUUAUAUACGUACAAUAAAAAUAAACAAAUCCUUAAAAUUAUGUUGUAGGGCACCUGAACAAUGAUACUAAGAUUGUCCUCUGGUCUAAACACACACACACACACACACACACACACACACACACACACACACACACACGGGGGGAUAUUAAAAUACUUUACAUCUCACAUGUAUUAUGGAUUAUAAAAAUAGGUACAAAUUUUCCAGAUGGAAACUCGGCAAUAAGCAAAAAAAGUUUUAAAUGGUCCUAUGAAGCUCAGUGAUGUCAUUUCCAAGGAUGUUUCUCAAGUAAUUUAGUCGUGAGAGAAACCUGUUUUCUUUUUUAAAAAAAAAAUCUAUCAUUGAAUUUGUUGCAGAUACAAAUGUAAAUAAUUUUGCAGACCUAAAGAGGUUUUUAAAAACAAACAAACAAAGCUGUGUGGCAUUGGACAAAAUAAAUUAUUGUCCAGAUACAACUAAAUUAUAACUUUUUUAUUUUAUUCCAUCAGUUUUUAAAAUAAUUGUUUUCUAGAACGAUUCUAUACCUGGCUUUGGGGAACGUUAAAGCCAUGCUGGGGGAAGCACGUGUGCUUGGCCCCCAGACCCAGCACUGGAUGACAUCAGUUUGGGCAAAGCAAGAACCACGGCCAGACUUCCAAGCAUAUGGGUUCAUGCUCUGCUGCCUUCUCACAUAGUUUCUCCACAUGAAAAAUGAGGAGAAAGAGACCCUAAUUUUCCCAGAAUCAGCAUCUCCUCCGAACAUUCAGAGUUUACAGAACAGGAGACAGAAAACGAGGUCUGAAACACAGUUUCUUGUUGAAAGGAGUUGAAAGGCGGGCACUCGAGACCUCUCUUUCCCUUCUGAGAUGAAGGUGUUUUGGCAUCCACAAGCCCAGAUAGGACUGCUUUGACUUCAUGCACACCCGAAAAAUAGCAAGAUGCUCUUCAGCUCUCAGGGAGGCUGCACCCCAAUGAGUCCAGAGAGCUGAAAAUGCUCUGUUGUCACACCUAAGGUUUGCACCACAGUUCAGCCACAGAGCGUAUUGCUAACCUGUGCGCCACAGUUCAGCAAGCUGCAGAAUGCUGACAGACCUUCGUGUGGUCCCGUAGCCAGCUAAAUAGGAGCUGUGGUUCGCUGCACUGCCUACGAUCAUGAGGAAAUAGACUGAUGAGUAUCACUAUUAGGUCAACAAAUCAUAAACCCAAACCAUCAUAAAUCGUGGGCAGGCUAUAUACGGGGAAAAUAAAUUAAGACGGGGCAGGAUGGCGCUGGACAGAUGGUUCAGAAGUCAAAAGCAGUAACUGCUCUUCCAGAGGUUCCAGGUUCCGUUCCCAACACCCAGAUCACAGCUCAGAGCCAUCUGUAACUCUCCAGUCCCAGGAGAGCCAACACAUUCUUCUAGCCGUCUUUCCUAGGCAUGCAGGUUGUACAAAGACACACGUGCAUACAAAACACCUGUAUUAUACAUACAUAUUAUACGUAUUAUACAUAGAAAUAAGGAAGGAAGGGCGGCCAUGAACUCAGGUUGAGAAAGGCAGCAUGGCAGUAUAUAGGCAGAAUCAAAAUGAUCUGAGCUGUUCCGGACCCACGUCCUUCUUUACGUUAACAGAUCUACAAAGAGGUCUGUUUAGGGCUCCAGCUAUACCUCAGUGUAGAGCCAUUGCCUAGCGUCCAUGAGGCCUUGGGUUCAGUUCCUGGUAUCACAAAGAAGAAGAAAACAAGAAUAGCAGAAGGUAGAGAGGUAGCUCAGCAGUUACGGGCACUGUCUGCUCUUGCAAAGGGCCCAGGUUCAAUUCCCAGAACCCACCUGGCUGCUUACAGCCAUUUGUAAUUCCAGAGGAUGCAACACACUCUUCUAGCCUUCUCUGGCACGAGCCUUGCAUGUGGUGCAGGCAAACCACCUACACACAUUAGAAAGAAAUGAAGAGGGAAGAGGGUAUAUUUUGAGGGGAGCCAUCUUCGACACUAAUAUGUUCAGUACAUUGGUUAGCAAAGCCAAAGAACAGGAUGCUUAGAGGGGCCACUGAAACCUACCAAAACUUUGCAAAACCUUCAAUUUGUUCACUGCCAUCUUUUUUUUUCAUGCCUAUUGCUUGCAGAAUGCAGUGAAAAACAAGAUGGCUUCCCAAACACAGAGAAACACCUGCUGUAGGAAAGUUUGCUGCUGCACUGCCUCCCUGUGAGAUUAAAUGGUUCUCUUCUUCACCUCAUAUUCAUGACCUUCUUGACAGAAUUCCUCCAAAGGUUUUCUUUAUGCUUCCCUUCUUCUAGUAAUCACUCAAUAAAGGGCACUCACUUAUUGUUAAUUUCAUCUUCAUCAUCAUCAUCAUCAUCACCACCACCACCACCACCAUCAUCAUCAUCAUCACAUCUAACACAGUGCCUUAUGUUCAGAUAAAGUUUGCCUCCAAAAUACAAAUGUGAACUAUGAACUUAGGCACUGAGUUUUCAGAGUUUGCAUCUAUUCUUGGGAGAAACCAUCAUCACCAAUGAAUUCCAAUGGUAAAGAGCUAAAAUUGCUCCCUCUUCCAGGUACAAGAAUCUGUCUUGAUGCAGGGACACACUUCGUCCCUGUAAGCAGGAGGAGUGCUGUGGCACACUGUUAAAUGACACUCACUGUCUCCCCAUUUCCAAACAGUUGCCAAAAGUCAAAGCUCGUGUGCAUUGCAUAGCUGCCAAGUUCUCCUCUGAGGCAAAACCACAGUGAGGCUCGCAGGAUGCCUCGGUGGGCAAAGGCACUCACCUGCUGCCAAGCCUGACGACCCAAGUUCAAUCCCUGAGACCCAGGGGAUUUGGCGAUCCCAAGCGUCUUUUGACCUCUGCACAUGCAGUGUGGCGUGUGCUCCCCACUCCCAUACACACAAUAAAUAGGUAAACCUUUGAAAGCUUUUUUAAUCCACAGCAGUUCCCUUCUUUCGCCUUAUUAAAAUCUAACACGGUAGAAAUAUCUCAGGUUCGGUGUCAAGCACACCUAGAUUUGAAUGUUACCCACAUAGAGCCUGAUAGAAUGUCUAUCAUCCACACUCAUAACCAAAAUCCUAAUAGAGCCAUGCAGAACUACUGUGAGACUGCACUGGUCUCCUCUAGAUUUCUCCAAAGAGGCAUCAAAUGACAAGGCAAGCUCUACUUAACAGAGAAGACAGAUACAGACUCCCCAGAGAGAACCCAAAGGCAUCCAUGGGAUAGACGCAUAUCCCCUGCCCUGAACAGGGUUGACCCGAUGAAUGCCCCCAAUACCUCCUUGCUCAAAAUCUAUGACUAACUCCACAAUGUGGAUCAAACGCCUCACUCCAGCCUCUGCAAUACACCUCCAUUCCACCUUCCCAACCCUUUCUUCCUCUGACUCCUCCCACCUAAUGACACCAACAUUCACACCACAGACCGGAAGACAGGCUUAUCACUGUACAAAGUCCUUAUGCAAGCAAGCGUCUUACCUUACAUACUAUUGCACACCCUUUCAGCUUAUCAGGAAUAGCACUUUGUGCAUAAUGAUAUCUACCGAUUAGUAAUCAAUAAGGAAGUAGAUGAGUCCCCUUUGGAGAGCAGAUGGGACAGGGAGGGGAAGGUCUAUUAACAUAUCGUCCCUGUGUUGUGAUAAUUCACCAAGUAUGGGCGAUAAGGAAAGAAAUGAUUGCACAGAAGCACAAAGGCUAAAACACUGAACCAACUUACUAUUUUCACAUCAUCCGGGGAAUUCAGUCUAAGCAUAUUAACAAGCUUUUAAAUUUAUUUAACAUUUCAUUUUUUUAAAAAAAGCCUUCAUUGACUCAUGCACCAUGAAGAGCAAAUAUAAGGCAUCAAGCAUUAGGAAGAGCUCUGUGAAAGACCCAAAGAUGGCUCAGACACGGUACCCAAAGGAGGUACCGUGCAGUGAAAGAGUCAGGCACAUCCAAGUAAAGACAAGUCAUGAUGCCCCAAAGGUGCCACAAGCGAAGCCUACUGGGGAUGCUGGAGUAGCGCGGAUCCCUCUCCUGCUACAAUGCCUUCCCAGUGUGGGCCUCUAACGCAGCAGUCCAGCAAAGCUCUACAUCACACUCACCUCCACCAUUGUACCGGCAUCUCACAGACUGACACCCUGUGUCAUCCAUAGGUGGAGUGUCUGGUAACGGUGGAGAGACCUCUGCUUUCUUACCUAACAGCUCAGAAAAAAUGGAGGCCAGAAGGUUUCAAAGAAGAGGAGACAUCUGAACUAAGCCUGAAAGAUAGAUGAUCCUUGGGCAAAAAAAGAAGGGGAAACUAUUCCAGAAAAAGAUAAGAAGGGAGAAAGACAAGAGUACGGAGGCGUAUGGGUGCAUUUGAACCAUUAUUAAUAAGAGAAGUGUUGGCAGAUGUUGGAGAAAUGGCUGCAAGCCUUGAUGUUGGGCAUGGCUACUCAAGAGAGCCUCUGGCCCUGGUGCCUUAUAGGGGUCCUUAUGAGCUGGGGGGUAGAGACUCCCAAUUCAGAGCACACAGAGAUAGAUGUGACUGGCAUGCUUUUCUACCCCACUGUCCGCUCUGUGUCUCUUUCCAGGAAGCAUAAGCCAUGGCCUCUAUUAUCUCUAACCUAAAAUGGGCAGGCAAUAAGAACUGGAGAACUAAUCAACCAUCACUGUUGUCAUUUACGGACUGUCUCUAGGCAAGCCACUUUGCUCUGCCCUGUGAAAAGCACUCCACUGCCCUCCAGAAUGCAUAACUGGUUCCAAAAGGCAGUUAUUUUUAAUUGAGUAUAGAAGAAAAUAAAUUGAAAUAAGCCCCAUAAACAGGUAAGGUCUCUAAGUAAGAGCUUCACAUCUUAUUCCUGCAAGGAAGAGUUUAGCAAACGUCUAAUAAAUGCCCUUGUGGCAGCCUAUCAAGCUCGGUGUUCUGACCACCACAGCCAGGGGCAAUGCUGCAAGAGUGCAUAGGAAGAAGUCUCAACCACACAACCGCCAACACAAGGGGCUUCCUCCAGUCCGGAGUUUAAUCCCUAAACUGAGGUGUGCCACCUGAGGAAGGAGGCCUCAUGCAGAGCAACAGCUAGGAGGAAUGGCCAAAUGACUCCCCUAAACAAAGAAAGCCCCACCCUACACAAGAUUGCCCUGCCAAGGCCUGCACUGCUGUUCUUCACCCACUCUGACCUUAUGCAAACUUGAGACUUUACCCUUAUCUUGCAUUGAGGAUUACAAAGCCACUCAGAAUCACUUCACUUUUUAGUGAAUCAAUUCAAAACAAAAGAGAGCACGAGAAAUAUUUUCCACCUUCGUAUCACUUCCCCUUAGAAACAAACAAAGCAGUCAAGCUGGGGUGUUCUUCAGGGAGGGUACUUGCCAAGCAUGUACAAAGCUUCUGGUUUUAUUCCCAACAUUAUGAGAGAAGGAGGGAGGGAGGGAGGGAGGGAGGGAGGGAGGGAGGGAGGGAGGGAGGGAGGGAGGGACUCAAUCUGCAGGAUGAGCCUGGUUACUAACACAGACAGCACCCAGUCGGUUUUGCACUGCCCGUCAAGUCUGUGGCCAACACACACACCCUUUUAUUGCUUCUCACACAUCCCAGGUGCAGAGUUCUGACGACUUAACAACAGCCAUUAUCUUCUGAAACAUAAAAGGGAAACAUAUUCCAAAGCCUUGGUAAUAUUCUCUCAUAGAAAGAAGGAAGGAAGGAAGGAAAGAAAGAAAGAAGGGAGGGAGGGAGGGAGGGAGGGAGGGAGGGAGGGAGGGAGGGAGGGAGGGAAAGAAGGAAGAAAGGGAAGAAAGAAGAAAAGAAAAACUUUGUUCUAACACCAGAUAAGACCUUUCCUAACUGGGGAAGUAGAAAGUUGGCAUAUCACUCACACGCAUGUGCUGGCACACCUAUGUUCUAGCAUAGCAUCACUCACACAUAUGUGCUGGCACAAGUAUGUGCUGGCAUGGAAUCACUCACACAUAUGUGCUGGCAUGGCAACAUUCACAUGUAUGUGCUGGCAUGGCAACAUUCACAUGUAUGUGCUGGCAUGGCAUCACGUAUGUGCUGCCAAGCACAGACCGUGACAGCCCCGCUGACUCGUCUGCUCAGCCACACUGGAUAGCUCUCCAGGCUCCAGCUGCAAAAGGAACUUACAGCCUAACCUGUCUUCUCUUUCUCUUCUGUUCUGCCAACCACAAUUGCCCGGCUUGCCCGUUGGUUACCAACUGACAUUGUCUCUCUCCUCCCAGAGUUGAAUAAAGCCCACUCUUAUGAUCUCAUCUCCCCUCUCAUCCCUCAGGUAGCUUUAUACUUGAUAUGCUUCUCUGAUGCUCAUACGUCUUCAUUUUCUUCUUUGUCACCCCAGAUGGUUGCACCUGCUUUCUCCAUCGCUAAACUGUAAGAUCUUGGAGAACGUGGCUUGGAAUUUCUCGGCUCUGCGUCUUCAUAGAGCAGUGCUUCACAUACAGCUGCUUGAAAACAUCUGCUGAAGGAAUUGACUCCCGCGAGAGUUUUCUUUACACUUGUUUGCAGAGUCGUCUUCAGCUUAAUUUCAUCCCUGUCAUGUCCACUGGCACAGUACUUACAGUUAAUUUUAGGGAUUCUUGGGGGCGGGGAGAGGUUUCGCCCUGGGGCUGAAGAAAUGGCUAUUCAGAGCACUGGCGGCUUUUGCAGAGGGCCUGAGUUUGGUUCCCAGCACCCACACUGUAGCCCACAGCCAUCUAUAACUCCACUUCCUGGAGGUCUGAUACCCACUCCUGACCUCCAUGGGCAUGGCAUGCACUUAGUACACAGGUGUGGGCACAUGCUCAUGAAUAAAAAUAAAUUCGUAUCCUUAAAACGGGGGUGGGGGAAUAAAAAGCUCUGUGAUUUCUUUUACUACCCCCCCUUAUGUCAGAUGCAACAUCAGGCGUCUUUCCCCAUACUUAAAAUUCACUGGAUUAUCAUCUGCAUUAACUGGUCAGGCUGUGUCAUUGAAUAAAAUCAAUGAAUGAAUGAAGUAAAA
Non-coding RNA from Rattus norvegicus (Norway rat), 12798 nucleotides. Lineage: Eukaryota; Metazoa; Chordata; Mammalia; Rodentia; Muridae. The record is from RefSeq and is a predicted model, not a curated record.